Molecule: ribosomal RNA, 36 nt
Filed under: Pelobates cultripes (western spadefoot toad)
Lineage: Eukaryota; Metazoa; Chordata; Amphibia; Anura; Pelobatidae
Description: SSU_rRNA_eukarya
Source: RNAcentral
AGGGAGCCUGAGAAACUGCUACCACAUCCAAGGAAG